AUAAAAAUAAUUGAUAAAACUCAUAUAUAUCCUGAAUAUGGCAGGAAGUAUCUACCAGAAACCGUUAAUUUCUGACUAUGAGUGAUUGAGGCGUGUUU
RNAcentral lists this non-coding RNA (98 nucleotides) under Clostridium sp. Its description in RNAcentral is "Guanine sequence". It matches the Rfam family "Purine riboswitch aptamer". Rfam says of the family: Riboswitches are metabolite binding domains within certain messenger RNAs that serve as precision sensors for their corresponding targets. Allosteric rearrangement of mRNA structure is mediated by ligand binding, and this results in modulation of gene expression. Lineage: Bacteria; Bacillati; Bacillota; Clostridia; Eubacteriales; Clostridiaceae. The record is from RNAcentral.